Molecule: ribosomal RNA, 270 nt
Filed under: uncultured bacterium
Lineage: Bacteria
Description: partial 16S ribosomal RNA
Rfam family: Bacterial small subunit ribosomal RNA
Source: RNAcentral
CGGGUAGAGUAACACGUAAACAACCUGCCUUCAGGAUGGGGACAACAGACGGAAACGACUGCUAAUACCGAAUAAGUUCCAAGAGCCGCAUGGCCCAUGGAAGAAAAGGUGGCCUCUACCUGUAAGCUAUCGCCUGAAGAGGGGUUUGCGUCUGAUUAGCUGGUUGGUAAGGUAACGGCUUACCAAGGCGACGAUCAGUAGCCGACCUGAGAGGGUGACCGGCCACAUUGGGACUGAGACACGGCCCAAACUCCUACGGGAGGCAGCAUG